CGGGCUCUUGAGGAGCUCCUGGUGGCACCUGAAAUCUGUCCUGAGGAAUAGAAGCUUCUACAGGAAAACCCAUCACUGGAGCUGUGAUCGGAGCAGGUGACGAAUGGUUUUCCUGUGGCAGACAAUCAAAUAUCCAAAACAGGUCCAAAAUAAAAUCCAUGUACUACACGGCUCUCUGGAAUCGGUCAACGGCGCCAUCUAGCGGUCUGAUAUUUCUGAGUAACAACCGCAUAUCCGGGAUUAAGACGCAUCAUAUCGCUCAUCCGGGUAUUGAUGGUCAUCUUUCCUACUUCAUUCGGCGAUCUCUACAAUGCGAGAGGAGAGGAGCAGUCUCUCUGUGACAUCCAGCAGUCCACCAGACGCUCAAUGUUUCCAGAGCAGAUGAAACACAAACAGGCCUGCAGACAGCGUUUCUCUGUACCUACAGCCUCCAGACGAGAGCCCAGAAUCAAUCGGAUCGACUGACUUCGCCAGUGUUUGGGUUCCAGCACAGGAUCCGGUUGUCUUUGCCGCUGCUCAGCAGAAGCUCUGGAUCGGCCUGACUCCACGAGAUGGACAGAAUUCCUCUGGAAGAUUAAAGAAAAUGACUUUGAGCGGUGAGGUGGCAAACCGAAGGUCCCAUAUCUGUAUCACAGGAAGUCUGUCGUCCUCUGAUGCCAAAACCAGCUGAGUGGCCACAUCUGGAUGCCACAACAUCCCAGAACAGUGCAUCUGAAAAAUUCAUA
Myxocyprinus asiaticus (Chinese sucker) is the source of this 725-nucleotide long non-coding RNA. RefSeq lists it as uncharacterized. Lineage: Eukaryota; Metazoa; Chordata; Actinopteri; Cypriniformes; Catostomidae. The transcript has 5 exons. The record is from RefSeq and is a predicted model, not a curated record.